RNAcentral lists this ribosomal RNA (1199 nucleotides) under uncultured marine diplonemid. RNAcentral describes it as "SSU rRNA". It matches the Rfam family "Eukaryotic small subunit ribosomal RNA", at positions 570 to 1574 of the family's 1831-position model. The record is from RNAcentral. Lineage: Eukaryota; Euglenozoa; Diplonemea.
GCACCCGCGGUAAUUCCAGCACUAAUAGCAUAUAUUAAUGCUGCUGCUGUUAAAAAGCUCGUAGUUGGAUCAAGAGUCGGACAGUGCACGGUGGCCCCAUUAGCAAAUUUGGCUCCGGUCAUGUUGGCGGUGGCGGAUCAACCCCGUGCGCCAAACUGUCCGCUCUAACAGACCGAAGCGGUUCCCUGUGAGUAGGCCCCUUCAUUGGGGUCGAAAGCGUCUACGCAUCAACCAUAUGCAUACGGGACGUCGGUCAAAAUUACUGUGAACAAACCAGCGUGUCCAAAGCAGGCUAUCGCCUGAAUGUACGAGCAUGGAAUAACAAGGGAUCGAUUCUCUCGGUUCUUUUUGUUGGUUUUUAACCCGAGAAGGAGUAAUUCAGGCCACGGUGUCUGAGUUGGGUUUCCCGUGGCUUCGGCUGAGGCCCCAAUUAGGCCGUGUCCUUACGGGAUCAAUAGGGACUGACGGGGUCGUACGUACUGUCGCGUCAGAGGUGAAAUUCUUAGAUCGCGGCAAGAUGAACUUCUGCGAAAGCAUUCGACAAGAAUGUCUUCAUUAAUCAAGAACGAGAGUGUGGGGAUCGAAGAUGAUCAGAUACCGUCGUAGUCCACUGCUGUAAACAAUGCCGUCUCAGGAUUGAGAAGUGAACUGAAUGACUUUCACAGCACUAACCCCUGAAACGAGAAAUCAAAGAUUAUGGGCUCAGGGGGGAGUACAUUCGCAAGGCCGAAACUUAAAGGAAUUGACGGAAUGACACCACAAGGCGUGGAGUAUGCGGCUUAAUUUGACUCAACACGGGGAAUUUUACUAGGUCAGGACAAUGUAAGGAUUGACAGAUUGAGAGCUCUUUCUCGAUCCAUUGUGUGGUGGUGCAUGGCCGCUCCUGGUUGGUGGAGUGAUUUGUCUGGUUCAUUCCGUUAACGAACGAGAUCUCGACCCUUAAAUAGGUGCCCGUGUCGAUCGUAGUUUCACUCCUGCUCGCUUGCGAGACUAGGAUGGGACGAGACUGCGGGAAUACUUCUUAAGGGGACUGUAUGCGUCUAUAGCAUGCGGAAGAGCGAGCCAAUAGCAGGUCUGUGAUGCUCCUAAAUGUCCUAGGCUGCACGCGCACUACACUGAUGCAAUAAACGAGUCUGACGGCCUUCUGGCAACCUACCUGGAAGCGGGUGGGGAAUCUUUUGAACCUGCAUCGUGAUGAG